RNAcentral lists this ribosomal RNA (642 nucleotides) under uncultured bacterium. RNAcentral describes it as "bacterial SSU rRNA". It matches the Rfam family "Bacterial small subunit ribosomal RNA", at positions 232 to 885 of the family's 1533-position model. The record is from RNAcentral.
CGCGGCCUAUCAGCUUGUUGGUGGGGUGAUGGCCUACCAAGGCGACGACGGGUAGCCGGCCUGAGAGGGCGACCGGCCACACUGGGACUGAGACACGGCCCAGACUCCUACGGGAGGCAGCAGUGGGGAAUAUUGCGCAAUGGGCGAAAGCCUGACGCAGCGACGCCGCGUGGGGGAUGAAGGCCUUCGGGUUGUAAACCCCUUUCAGCAGGGACGAAGCGAAAGUGACGGUACCUGCAGAAGAAGCGCCGGCUAACUACGUGCCAGCAGCCGCGGUAACACGUAGGGCGCAAGCGUUGUCCGGAAUUAUUGGGCGUAAAGAGCUCGUAGGCGGUCUGUUGCGUCCGCUGUGAAAACUCGGGGCUUAACCCCGAGCCUGCAGUGGAUACGGGCAGACUAGAGGUAGGUAGGGGAGAAUGGAAUUCCCGGUGUAGCGGUGAAAUGCGCAGAUAUCGGGAGGAACACCGGUGGCGAAGGCGGUUCUCUGGGCCUUACCUGACGCUGAGGAGCGAAAGCGUGGGGAGCGAACAGGAUUAGAUACCCUGGUAGUCCACGCCGUAAACGUUGGGCGCUAGGUGUGGGAUCCUUCCACGGAUUCCGUGCCGCAGCUAACGCAUUAAGCGCCCCGCCUGGGGAGUACGG